GACGAACGCUGGCGGCGUGCCUAAUACAUGCAAGUUGAGCGCUGAAGGUUGGUACUUGUACCAACUGGAUGAGCAGCGAACGGGUGAGUAACGCGUGGGGAAUCUGCCUUUGAGCGGGGGACAACAUUUGGAAACGAAUGCUAAUACCGCAUAAAAACUUUAAACACAAGUUUUAAGUUUGAAGGAUGCAAUUGCAUCACUCAAAGAUGAUCCCGCGUUGUAUUAGCUAGUUGGUGAGGUAAAGGCUCACCAAGGCGAUGAUACAUAGCCGACCUGAGAGGGUGAUCGGCCACAUUGGGACUGAGACACGGCCCAAACUCCUACGGGAGGCAGCAGUAGGGAAUCUUCGGCAAUGGACGAAAGUCUGACCGAGCAACGCCGCGUGAGUGAAGAAGGUUUUCG
RNAcentral lists this ribosomal RNA (402 nucleotides) under Lactococcus lactis. RNAcentral describes it as "bacterial SSU rRNA". It matches the Rfam family "Bacterial small subunit ribosomal RNA", at positions 28 to 420 of the family's 1533-position model. The record is from RNAcentral. Lineage: Bacteria; Bacillati; Bacillota; Bacilli; Lactobacillales; Streptococcaceae.